Molecule: long non-coding RNA, 1017 nt
Filed under: Homo sapiens (human)
Lineage: Eukaryota; Metazoa; Chordata; Mammalia; Primates; Hominidae
Description: HSALNT0221502
Source: RNAcentral
GACGUGGCCCCGCCCUCUGAGAACCCGGAAGCGGGAGUCUCGCGCCAGCUGAGCGGCGGUCGGGCGGGGGGAGCGCGGCGGCCCAAGCUCGCUCGGCCACGCGCCCCGCCCCCUCAGAGGCCGGCCUCCCGCACGCACCGCGCAGCCUGCUGUGCCCGUGGGUCCCGAGUGCUCCGCCGCCCGCCCCGACCCGGGCCCAGCCGCCUCCACGGCCCGCGCUCGUACUGGAGCGAAGAGCGGCCUCCUGAAGGAGGGGAAGGGACGUGGGGGCGGCCACGGCAGAUUAUUGUGGAUGAUGAUGACAGUAAGAUAUGGUCGCUCUAUGACGCGGGCCCCCGAAGUAUCAGGUGUCCUCUCAUAUUCCUGCCCCCUGUCAGUGGAACUGCAGAUGUCUUUUUCCGGCAGAUUUUGGCUCUGACUGGAUGGGGUUACCGGGUUAUCGCUUUGCAGUAUCCAGUUUAUUGGGACCAUCUCGAGUUCUGUGAUGGAUUCAGAAAACUUUUAGACCAUUUACAAUUGGAUAAAGUUCAUCUUUUUGGCGCUUCUUUGGGAGGCUUUUUGGCCCAGAAAUUUGCUGAAUACACUCACAAAUCUCCUAGAGUCCAUUCCCUAAUCCUCUGCAAUUCCUUCAGUGACACCUCUAUCUUCAACCAAACUUGGACUGCAAACAGCUUUUGGCUGAUGCCUGCAUUUAUGCUCAAAAAAAUAGUUCUUGGAAAUUUUUCAUCUGGCCCGGUGGACCCUAUGAUGGCUGAUGCCAUUGAUUUCAUGGUAGACAGGCUAGAAAGUUUGGGUCAGAGUGAACUGGCUUCAAGACUUACCUUGAAUUGUCAAAAUUCUUAUGUGGAACCUCAUAAAAUUCGGGACAUACCUGUAACUAUUAUGGAUGAAUAACACCAUUGAAAUCAAAAUAGGCCGAGCACAGUGGCUUAUGCCUGUAAUCCCAGCGCUUUGGGAGGCUGAGGCAGGAGGAUUGCUUGAGUCCAAGAGUUCAGGACCAGCCUGGGCAACAUAGUG